UGGGGAAUUUUGGACAAUGGGGGAAACCCUGAUCCAGCCAUCCCGCGUGUGCGAUGAAGGCCUUCGGGUUGUAAAGCACUUUUGGCAGGAAAGAAACGUCAUGGGUUAAUACCCCGUGAAACUGACGGUACCUGCAGAAUAAGCACCGGCUAACUACGUGCCAGCAGCCGCGGUAAUACGUAGGGUGCAAGCGUUAAUCGGAAUUACUGGGCGUAAAGCGUGCGCAGGCGGUUCGGAAAGAAAGAUGUGAAAUCCCAGAGCUCAACUUUGGAACUGCAUUUUUAACUACCGGGCUAGAGUGUGUCAGAGGGAGGUGGAAUUCCGCGUGAAGCAGUGAAAUGCGUAGAUAUGCGGAGGAACACCGAUAGGGAAGGCAGCCUCCUGGGAUAACACUGACGCUCAUGCACGAAAGCGUGGGGAGCAAAGAGG
Molecule: ribosomal RNA, 429 nt
Filed under: Acidobacteriota bacterium
Lineage: Bacteria; Pseudomonadati; Acidobacteriota
Description: Acidobacteria bacterium partial 16S ribosomal RNA
Rfam family: Bacterial small subunit ribosomal RNA
Source: RNAcentral